Brassica napus (rape) is the source of this 411-nucleotide long non-coding RNA. RefSeq lists it as uncharacterized. The record is from RefSeq and is a predicted model, not a curated record. The transcript has 2 exons. NCBI's taxonomy places the organism in Eukaryota, Viridiplantae, Streptophyta, Magnoliopsida, Brassicales, Brassicaceae.
UCAGCCGUGGAUACUUGCAUUAGGGGAGGUUGACCCGGCUCUCCUUGCUCGUGCCCUUGGAGUUAAGGUGCCCCACCGAAGACAGAGUCAACGUCUGCAGAACCGUUCGGCUCACGAGAGAGCCAAGUCUCGUAGAGCACGGAUGUCUCUCGAGAAAUACUUUCUGGAGGUGAUUGAGGCUGCGGCAGAAAUGGGGAAACAGGGAGGAGAUGGAGGCGGGGGCGACGGCGGAGAUGGAAGCGGGGACGACGGCGGAGAUGGAAGCGGGGACGACGGCGGAGAUGGAGGCGGGGACGAUGGCGUCCUCGGUUGAUCGAAUAUCGUUUGUUUUACCAAUCUCAUGGCGUCGUUUUUCUUAAGACUUUGGAAUACUAGCAUGCAUUCACUUGUUUUAAUAAUACGCCAUUAAUA